GAGGCGCCUCCGCCGAAGGGGCGUGGGCGCGAGGGGAGCUCGCGCACGACCCGUGUCCCGGCUGACGACGACCGUCGCUCCUGUAUGUACUGUACAGUACUGUUGUUCUUUGCGCCCAGCAGCAGCAAGCAAACUGGCCCGGCUUGUUGUGUCUGACUCUUCGUCACUCCAUGGACCAGAGCACGCCAGGCACUCCUGUCUUCCACUGCCUCCCGCAGUUUGGUCAAACUCAUGAAUACAUAAUACAUAAAUACGACCAGCCAAAUGUCAGCGGUUAUCCAGAUUCUGCUAUACUUCAAUGGUUUCAAUAUUGUGUAUGCUAAAAACAUGGGUAGCUUUUGCUCAGUUGUGCAGCAGCCAUCAAGCCUGAUCCACUGAAUUCAGUACAACCUACCCCCAGUGAAAUGUGCAGAGAAUUGCAACCUUUCAGAUAUUUGAGUGUCAUCUCUGUGUGCAAAAUCCUUUUUAAAUAGUCUCUUAGGAAGUAUGAUGUACAGUAGUUGUUAGACUCAGCCUUUCUGAACCUUGUGUCCCCAGAUGUUGUUGGACUACAAGACCCAUCAUCCCUUACCUGGUCCUGAUAUCCAGGCAUCAUGGAAGUUGUAGUCCAACAACAUAUGGGCACCCAAAGAUGAGAAAGGCUGGAUAGUGUGUUGAACUAGGACCAGGGAGACCUCACUUUAUGUAAAAACUACCUCUCACCCUACAGCACCUCACAAAAUUGUUGUGAGGAUAAAACAAAUGGGCCAAACCAUGCCAUUCCUGCUACAUAUCAAACAGCUGCCAUCUCUGUUAUCUGUUUGAUAAUAUAUAUUGUCCUGUUGAAGGCCUUCCUUUUCGAGUGAAACCUUUAAGUAGAGAUUUCUUUCCCAGUCUGUAUCUGUGUUGGACUUGUUUUUAAUAUGCUUUCAUUAUUGAUGUUUUCAUUGUUAAAUUGCUUUGGGGUGUUUUAUGGGGAGCAGUUCAUAAAUGCUAUAAAUAAUGAUGAUUAUAACACACUGCCUUAAACUCCUUGGAGGGAAAGUGGGAUAUAUAUUUAGUAAAUAAGUUCCCAUUGCAGUUGGGUUUACUGUUUCCCCCCCCCCUUAAAUAGUACCUAAACUCAAGACAGCCAUCUUCCCCCACAACCUCUCUCCUAUGCUUCUUACACCAGGUUGAUUUGCAGACAAUAGUACUUAUCUUUAUAGCAGGAAAAGCAUUAUUUGCUGGAACUGGAGAUAUAGUUGGUUUUAGACAGACAAUAUCCUGAGCAUCACAUAGUUAUCUAGUAAACUUCACUCAGUCUGGUUGACUCUGAUUAUGCAAGACUUCCUAGAUCCCAGCCUCAGGCUUGAAAUCAAAGGCCCUUUGUUACAUUUUCCGCACCUGACUUUCUCUGUCAUGUCAUCAACACACCUCUUUGCUUGCCAGAGUCCAGGUGACAAGCUGAGGGUUACAGAUGUUCUGUGUAUCAGUUACUAACCUGGUGGGAAUUAUUGCCAGGGUGAUCACUUCCAAAAGAAGGCUCUUGUGCCUUUAAUGGUUGUGCAGAGUUCAUAGAAAAUUUUGGCAAAGGCAACUUGUUGUGCAAGGUCGAGAAGCUACACUUAGCUGCAGUCCCUUGUCUGUACAGCUGUUAAAAGAGACAGGAACCCUUUUCUGUUUUGCUUCUAGUCAGUCUGUCCUCAGAGGGGGAGAGAUCCACUUUUUUCACCAUGAUAUCCCUGUUUUCCCUCAUUCUUCAGUAUGAGAUUCAUUGUUAAUGUACAGGUAAUCCUAAAACUUCCUAAUUCAGAUUACUUUGGCAAUUCUCAGGAGGAAUUGGCAGGGAAAGAGCUGCAUAGUAAUGUGAUGCUGAUAUAUAAAGUGCCUUUCAUUUAAUUGGGAACAUGCAACCUCUUGUUAGUUUUCAGCCUUAUUUGUUUAAGGUGAAAGGAAAAGAAAACUGAACAAGGAGGAGCUGAGCUGUGUUUCAUAGGGUAUGUAUGUUAGGAUAGGGACGGGGAAUCUGUGGCUGUCCAGAUUAUCUUGAACUCUAAUUCCCAUCAUCCCUAACUAUUGGCCACGCUGACUAGGGCAGAUGGGAGCUGAAGUCCAAGGAGAUACCGUAUCUUGAUAAGGACUUCCACAAACUAUACAUGUUGUGAUAUGGGUUAUGAGUUUGUUUUAAAUAUGCAGAACUUGUCUAUGAACAAAAUGAUCUAAGCACCAAGGAAUAAUGAGCUGUUCACCACAACAGUUCUACAAAGACUUUUCCUUAUUUGUAAACUAUAAGAAUUCAAAACUUCACAAGGCUUAUGAAGUUUAACCUCAUUAAACAAACAUGUUUUAUAUCUAUGACAAGUGGAAACAGCGUUAGAAACAGAUAUGAAAGCUAGGAGCUAAAAGGCACCUUAAACCUAGGUUAUGGGCACAACAACAGAAUGUCUAGGCACACUUUUUAAUAGCAAGAAUACAAAGCUGAAAAUGAAUGAACUGCAGCUAAAAUAUUAUGUUCAUUUUUCACAUGGUCUAGUCUUUCCCCUGCCUUCCCCCCUAAUAUUCUUAAGAGGGUCUCUUCUCCAGUCUUCAGAGAGUAGCUGGAAGUGGGGAGGCAGAAAAAGAUCCUUCUUUCCUUCCACUCUGCAGUUUUAAUUUGAAAUCUUAAGUGCAUUACUGCGCCCAGAGCUCAGAAACUGCUCGCGCUAAUGAAAUUCCUUGUCGAAAAAUGCACAAAGAGCAAUGGGAGUUUCGAACACUGAGUGGAAAAGUUUACAACUGUGGUAGUUUGUGCCUGGGAGAACAUCAGAACACUUCUUAUCCAGGUGUUGGAUUAUUAUCUGAAUCGUAAAUGGGUUUUUGAAGGUAAAGUUGCCCCCGUUUGGACUCUUGCCCAAUAAAACAGAACAAAAUUAUGACCAACCAGUUACGUUGCAAAUCAUUCCAGUUCACUGUUAAGAAGAACUGUGCUUCCUUUAAAAUAUAUUUAAUAAAGCCACUAUUUUCCACUGAAAGAAAAGAACAUUAAGAAAUCCCGUAUAUGUUGUUGUUUAAUGUUAGAUAUGUUGCUAGUUGUAUGUUUGUUUGUUUGUUUGUUUGUUUGUUUUAGUUCAAAAGCUUCCAGCAACCGAACAGAUUUUGACUUGGUGCCCUCUUCUGUUUGACACGUGUCACUACACUGAAAGCACCUAGUUGGUCACCAAGCCAAUUUUAAAGUUUCUGCUACUUGCAUGAAAAACUCUAGAUAAAAGGCACAAUGAUCAGCUAACAUAAUCCAGGCCAGAUUAUUGGUUUGCGAUAACACAAAGGGAGGCUUUUUCACUGGUGGCAAGGGAUGUAGCUCAGUGGUAGAACAUCUGUCUUGCAUGCAGAAGGUCUCAGUUUCAAUCCCUGGCACUCCCAGAAAGGACUGGAAGAGAAUCCUGGCUGAAAUUCUGAAGAGCUGCUGCUGGUCAGUGUACUGUAGAUAGUACUGAGCUGAUUCAGUAUAAGGCAGCUGCAUAUGCUCCUUUACUGGUUUGGAAUGUCCCGCCUGCUGAAAUAGGAUAGACCCCAUUAUGGUUGCCAUUCUUCCAGCUCCUGAAGAUACUCCUGUUUUAAGUAAGCAUUCCCCUGAGGUAAGCUUCUGAUUUUAUUUUAACUGUAUGCUUUUUUAUUUAUUGUUUUAUUAUAUGUUUUAAUUAAGAAUGUUUUAAUGCCUAGUGGAAUCUGUGAAUACACUGUAGUGCCCACAAUUCUUUGAGGAUGUGUUACAGAUCACACAGCCUGGAUUCCUCUCUUCCUGUCCUCUUCGCUCCCUGGUCUGUAUGCUCCUGCCUCCCCAUGCUCCUUGCUCUUCACAGCCCUUUCUGCUCUUAGGCAGUUUCCCCUUCCCAAAUAUAACCGUUCAACCAAUGAGCGGAGGGUGAAUUUGCAGAGGUGUGGAAUCCAAUCUGUUGGGUAAAUAUAUCAGCCUAAUUUGAAGUGAUAUCGCUCCUUUAGUAGUGUAUGCAUCUUUUUAAAAGAGUGUUUCUUUAGUAGAAAACUACAUUCUUAAUGCCAAUACAGGCUUUACUUCAAGCUAGUUCAGAUUUUUUGGGGGAAAUAAGAUUUGAGAUAUCUCUCUUCAGCACAUACUGAACCUUAACAAUGUGUUCAUGGUCCUGAAUAAGGCCAUAGUCCCAAUGGCAGUUAAUGGGGGGGGGGAAAGGCCUACUCCCCCCAAAAGGUGAAACUAUACUUUAUGGAUGUUAACAACUUGGUGCAAACUGACAAUAGUACAUAGUUCUGAACUGAAGUAAUAAUCUACACAAAUCAUGUUUGCCACUAGUGCCAGGGUCAGUCUAUUCCUCUACUGGAAUUUUUAUCAGUGAUUUCCAAAAGAAAUUAAUGCUUAAUUUAAUAUAUGAAUGGUUAAAUUGUUCACUGAUGAAUCUUCGUGAUUAUUACAAGGAUACAAAAUUCUACUGCCUACUUACAGCUGUUAUUCAUGGAAAUCACAGUACCUUUGCUUUGUGAUGCAACCACACAGAUCCAAGGCAUAGAGGCUCCUCCAGUCCAUCAUGAAACCAUCCUUCAUAUUCAUGAAUAGCAUUUUAAAGAUCCCAGAUGCACUACUGCAUUGUACAAAAUAGGGAUCUGAAGCACAAAUUCUUUCAGACCAUCUCCAAAAGUCAUGACAUGACAGAUGCAAACACAACAUCGGAAUAACAACAAGUGUGUUGGCCAACAUGGUCUGUCAAACUAAUAAAGAAUGCUCAAAACCAGGAGAAUGAGAUGUGUUAGCAAAACACACUGAUGAAGACGACAGUGGGCUAGCUGCAGUAUGAUCACAUUAUUCUGUUCUGAGUUAGUGCCAGGUUAUCAACAGGAUAUUACAUUUGAAAGCAAAAGGAAAUAGUAAAUUGCCAUGAAUGUGCCCUAAGGAAUGUACUGUAAUCUUUCCAAGAGUGUAUUCCUUGUAGACUGAACAUUAUAUAUCCCUUUUAAAGCCCAGCUAUGUUUUGAUAAAUGGCUCUGUUAUAGGUAACCAGAGCAAAAACUCUCAUUCUCAGCACAUUUACUUAAAAGUCAAUUAUGUUAAAGCCAAUCGGACUUAAUGCAGAGAUCUUUUCUGCAUUCAAGAAAACACUUGGUCAGAAUAAUCUUGCCUAUAUCGAGAGAUCUGUUUUUACUGUCGUAUAUCGGAACAAGGCAUGUAGUUGUAUCAGGGAGGAAAAGAUAAUUUCCCAGUAAAUUAUAAUGUGCCAUCCUACUGAUAAGAAAUAUUUGUCAUUACCGUUGUGAGGUCAUAACAGAGGCAUGUUCAGCAUCAUCCCAUAGGCCCCUCCCUGCUUAUUUGUAAUCCUUUGUAGGAAUUCCAAAUGACUAUUUUGUGGUGGUCCUUUCCUGUCUUUUUGCAGGCCCAUGUUAAGCCCAAUCAAUAGUGGGAGUGAAGGCAGGAAAAUGACCAUACAGUGGUACCUCGGUUUAUGAACACAAUUGGUUCCGGAAGUCUGUUCAUAAACUGAAGCGAACUUUCCCAUUGAAAGUAAUGGAAAGUGGAUUAAUCCGUUCCAGACGGGUCUGCGGAGUACUUAAACUGAAGCGUUCAUAAACUGAAGCAUGGGUGUAAUUGGUUCCGGAAGUCUGUUCAUAAACUGAAGCGUUCAUAAACUGAAGCAAACUUUCCCAUUGAAAGUAAUGGAAAAUGAAUUAAUCCGUUCCAGAUGGGUCCGCGGCGUUCAUAAACCGAAAAUUCAUAAACCGAGGUGUUCAUAAACCGAGGUUCCACUGUAUUGUGUUCCUCUUCUCCCUGGAUCCAGAGUAGUAUGGUAGAACACACAUCCAUUUUUCAAGCCUGUUACAGCCAAUCAAUCACUGCUUCCUCAAGGCCAAACUAGGCAAGAUACAGAACACAGAGAUGGUCUCUCACCUGUUUUUUGUUUAUUUUUAUUAAAAUGCAGUCACUGAAUAGGGGGUUGGACACACAGCAACAAGGAUCUGGGUAGAAUGAUAGGACAAAUGCCAUGGCUGAGAAGUAGAACCAGUUUGUGUACGUAUUACUGUCCUAAAAUGCAGCUAGGUUGUUCCUUAUCUCAAUUAGAGUCAAAGCUGUAUUGGGGGAAAUGGCAUCCAAACACAGUAUUCCAUAAGAAACAAGAGGAUAGAUGUGGAUUGUGGCUAAUGGGUGUAUACCACUUCCAAAACUAGCAGUAGGAGGAGCACACUGGAUAAUUACUUCUUUGUACUGUCUCUCUCUUCUUAUACUACCUCCUCUCCUUUCGCUUAUUGUCUCAUUCCAGCACUGACAUUGGGCUCAAAUGCCCAUGCAAAUAAUGGAUGGUAGAGCCUAACCAGGUUGUAAUGCCAGGCUGCAAUCUCAAGCACACUUACUGGGGAGUAAGCCGCAUUGAGUUCUGUGCCACUUGCUUCUGAUUAAAGUAUUAUUAGUAUUGCAUUGCAUUAUAAACAUAAUAUGUAGGACUGUAUAGUGUCUCCCCUGCUCAUAUAAUGGGGUAGAGCAAAAAAAUGUAAAAGAAGAGAGGGCUGUGAGCCUUCUUGCAAGUUCUAAAGAUUCCAGUUGCACCAUGGCUCAUGACCUGUCAAAUCAGUCUGGAUCAUGAACCAGUUGAAGCAUGAAAUGAGAGGUGGAGAGACAAGUGACUGUUGGAAGAGGGUCAAUGAAUGGCAAGAGAAAACAGACUUUUUCAGCAGAGCAACCCUGCAACAGGGUUUUAGAUGCAGUGGCCAGACUACAACAAAAUAACAUCUGAAGGAAAGAGUCCUCUUUUCACACCAACCCUAGUCACUCUCAGCUAUGUUCCAGCUACUAACCUAGUUAUACGUCUUUCAUUCUGACUCAGUUACAGCAUACUGCUGUAAAUGUUUGCUCAAAAGUAAUUUCCAAGCCCAUAGUUAUUCCCAUACACUGGGUGGCUUACCCAGACUUGCCUCCCACCAGCAUGAAAGGGGUAUUUGUGGGGACAGGCCAUUCAAAAUUCUUAUGAAGAACAGCAUGGGAAUAAUAAAUAUUUAUUUUUUUAUGCUUAGGUUAGAAAUAAGUUGUUGCAUUUACGUGAGGAAGAACUUGUUCCCGAGAAACAUGUACAAUGAACUAUUUACACUGCCUAAGUCUCUUGAACUGUGUUAAGAAAACAAAGUAAUCUCUGUGAAUGAGACUUGUUUAGUUCUCUAUGAACUUCAUCUUUCAUUUAAUGAACUAUUCUAUUAGCUAACCCAGCCAUCAAGACAUUGUUCGCUCUAAUGCAGAAUGUCACAUUCAAAUAUUUCUGAAGAUAUUUCUUUCUAAAAACUAUGGAGCUAAAAGAAUAGCAGAUGGCUAGCAUAACACAACUUGGAAUUUGCCUGGAGCUGUGGACCAGCAUGAUCAAAAGCUGGAGUCCACUAUAAUUUAAUUCAUCUCUUAAAUUGUGCAUGUUAAAUCAGUGGUACUGAGUAAUGCACAGUAAUUUUAACAUACUGUAUAGGCACACAAGCUGUUGCAUUGCCAUUGUCAAGUAGUAUGGCAUUUAGGGUGUUGCUUUUAUGAAAAAACUGUAAUUAGAAGACUAUUUUCAAAUUUGAACUUUCUGCAGAGUUUACGUUAUUUUAAUAAAGUCAUAUCCAAGGGAAGAAUAUUCCCGUAUGUUGGCAGGGGCUGAAAGCUGUGACUAGUGGCAUCCAAUGUCUAAAGUUAUUCAAGAUCAGCACCAACAGAGCGCUCCAAACCAUGUCUACUCAGUAGUGUGAAUGAAUUAAAUUAAGCUUACUCACAGAUAAAUCAUGUUAGAUUUUAUAAAACAUGUUAGAUUUUAUUAUAAACAAGUCCCCCUGCAAAUACGCACACAGACACAAAUUCUCAGGUCAAUUUUCCAAUGUAACUCUUAAUCUGCAGGUUUCAGUAUCUAUUCAGUUGUUAAGAUCUGCAGAAGAGCCUCUUCUCUGGGUGCUCCCACCUUCAAAAGUGAGGCAUGUAGCAACUGGAGAUACAGUGGUGCCUCACUAGACGAAUUUAAUUCAUUCCACGGGUCUAUUCUUAUAACGAAAAAUUUGUCUAGCGAAUCCCAUAGGAAUGCAUUUAAUAUUUUUUUUUUAAAAAGAAUUGCCCAUAGGAACGCAUUAAUUGAAUUUCAAUGCAUUCCUAUGGGAAACCGCGAUUCGCUAGACGAAUUUUUCGUUAAACGAAUUUGUCUAGCGAGUCAACCUCCGCUAGAAAAAUCCUUUCUUUAAGCGAAAAUUUUGUCUUACGGGGCGUUUGUUAAGCGAGGCACCACUGUACCUUAUUUGUUAAGCAAGGGAGGGCCCUACUUUGGGUUUCAUAUGGUGUCCAAAUGAUAGUACAGUAUUAUGCUUUUAUACAAUGAUCUUAAUCAUCUUUCUUGUUUAGAUUUACUGUUCCAUUCGCUCUGUGAUCAAAUUAUGGUUUUUAGCUGAUUAUAUUAGUUUUUGUUACAAGUACCGUAGGUAGCUGUGUUGGUCUGACGUAGUCGAAACAAAAUUUAAAAAUUCCUUCCACUAGCACCUUAGAGACCAACCAUGUUUGUCAUUGGUAUGAGCUUUCAUGUGCAUGCACACUUCUUCAGAUACCUGAAGUAUUUUUAUUUUAUAUCAGUUUUUGUUUGCCAUUGCGGAUUUUUGGUAUGUUUUUAUAUUAUGGUAACAAUAGGGGUUUUUUGGGGGGGGGUUGUGGUUGUCUUGUGGAUUUUUUAAUUAUGAGAAUUGAUUUGGGAACUGUGAAGUUCAAAAGUGGCAUAUCAAUCAAUAAUUAGAGAAGGAGGGGUUGGUAUGGGACAAUUGGAGCACAUGUGAACAAGACGUAUAUAGUUUUAUUUCCUUAUGACAAAGAGCCAUAAUAUGUAUAUUCAGUAGAUUGUUAGUUAACUUUAUCAUCCAUGGAACGUUUAUUUAAAAUGGCACAAUUAUGACAAACUAAAACCCACUGAAUGCUCUGACAAAUGGUAUUUUAAAACUAACAGCAGGACCUUUGUACUGUCAACAGUUGUGUUGCAAAGCAUAGCCACUCUGCCUGCAUUUGCCAUCGAGCCCUACUCUGCAAAUAAUCUGAAGAAAGUAGAAGUGCCAAAGUCUAAAAUACAUAGUAACUAAUUGAUGUUUAGGAUUAACAAAAGACAUUUCUGUCCAUUACAGUCAAGUCUGAGUGGGGAUAAAAGUUCAGUCUGCGAAAUCCUUUUAAAUGUCUAAUUAAAGACAUAUGAAUCUUCAAGUAAAUGGCAAUAUUAUCAAUGCAUGCAUUUUUCUUUUACUAUAUUAAUGGAAGCGAAUUAUUAAUGCUCCAUGAACAUUUAAAUGUGAAUUAAAAUAAAAAGGAAGAGCAAACAAUAAGCAAAGGCAUAUGGGCUGCUUAUCAGUCAUUACCAAAAUGAAAUAAGAUAACCCUAAUUCUCAAGGCAAAUGUAGCAUGAAAUAAACAAUAGCAUCUCUGGUGCAUUAACUUAAGAAGGAUGCAUGUUAAACACAUUUAAAUUAAGUGUUGCUCUAGAAUUCUGAACUGGUUGCUUUUUCUCUGCCUUUGUGUGCCACCCUCCAUAUGCAAUGGAAUCCUACAAAACUGCCUGCUUUUAUUAAAUAGAAUGUACCAUGGCAGGCUCUAGGGUUUUGUUGUCAUCUGCACAUACCCCAUACACAUUACACACAGACAAACAUUGAAAACUGAACUUAAUACUAAACUUUGACUAGUUUCUGGACCAAAUUCACUAACACUGUUCAGCUCAACAAAUCAGGACCACAAAUCACAGCUCAAGGUUGGCUUGUGAAUCUCAGGGUACUUUCGUUGCAGUUUGCUGUUAGUCAAACUUGAUAAUAGCAUCAAUUAUAAAAACUCAGCAAUUAUUAAAAAAAAAAUUGUGAGUGCGGCAGGAUGUCACAUGGUGUCACAUGAGUCCAACAGAUGCCCAGUUCUGACAACCUCUGAUACUAGACUUGGGUCAGAACCAUGUUUGUAGCUGAGGUAUCUGCAAUUUCUACACUAUUCAACAGGCAAGCCAAUUUCAAACUGAAAACGGUUAGCCUAUUAAAGCUGUGUGCAAGACUGCAAUAGAUAGGGCAAAGUUUCCUCGGGUAACCAUAUGCAUAGAUUUAUAGAACUGCACCCUUUCACUGUGUGACACCAUACUAAAUAUUAUCCUGUUACAUUUUCAGCAGACACUGGUAUCUGUAGAAACAUAACACAGUAGACAUAAACAUAAUUCAAGAAAGAACUACAGGUUUCACAAGAAUGCAAACAAAAAUUGUAAAACAAAAUCCUUUAUUAAGAGGUAGGCAAGACACCGAUUUCAGCAUUCUGUUUCCCUGUAUCAUUAUUCCAUGUGAAAAUGAUUGUAAUUAGGAAUUCAAAUCUUCAAUUCUGUUAAUACAAAAUAUUUCAGCUCAAUACUACAUUACGACUGUGCUUACUAAUUGUUGUUCCAACUAUAUGUGUGGGGAAAGGUGCUUCCCCCUCAAAAGUUGAAGUGUAAGGAAGACUUUAAAACACCUUUCUUUUGCAACUGAAAUAAAGCAGCUAUAUUUCUAUCUGAUCUCCUAAUGUUUUUGAAUGAAUUUAGCAGUUCCAUUUGGAGAUACAGUAAUGGAAAUCACCUAUGUUAAAAAACAAAAUUAACUUGAGUUUAUUGUGCCAACUUGAGUACCUUUACAUAUUAAAACUGGAAUUUCUCCAACUCUGCUUGUGGUUUUCACUUGUAUUGCUUAUAUUUAAUUGUAUUGCAUCUCAUUAUAUCAGUGUUUCUAUUCCAUUCUCUUCAGCAUGGAAAUAGCAGUGUGUGCACAUUAUGCACACAGAGCUAUUUCUAGGAAGCCAAAUCGGCAUUCUCAUGAAGCCAAGGGAAAGCUGAAAUACAGUAACAGACAAUUAUUUCCAACUAUAAGGUCUGGAGUUCAGUUGGCUUGCCCCAUACACAGCAUUUCAAGCUUCAUGACUGUGGAAAACUUCUUGACAUCCCUGUUAGUUAUUGAUAAACAAAACUAAGCUAGCUAGAUAAAUAUAAUGCAGCUAUUUACAUAAAAUGGGCCAGUUAUAUUACAAGAAAAAGUAAAAAGUCCCAAACAGACUUGGAAGUUUGUUUCAUAGCUGCCAAGUUAUCCCUUUUUUUAAGGGAAAUUCCCUUAUGCUGAAUAGGCUUCCUCGUGAGAAAAGGGAAAACUUGGCAGCUAUGGUUUGUUUGGGAAUUUCUACCGCAUUUAUAUCCCACCCUUUUCCCCAAAGAGCUCUAGGUGGCAUACAUGGUUCUCCCCCCUCCCCAUUUAAUCCCUCCAACAACAACCCUGUGAAGUAGGUUAGGCUGAGAGGCAGUGACUGGCCCAAGGUCACCCAGUGAUGCUUCAUAGCCAAGUGGAGAUUUAAAUUAUUCUCCUCUAAGCUUUACCUGUUCCAAUUCUUUCUGCGGUCUCCCAAGCCAAUUUCCAUACCCUUCCAGAGGACCCCUAAAACCUCCAGAACAGAUUUUGGAAAGGUACAGAGUUCUUU
This is a long non-coding RNA of Zootoca vivipara (common lizard), 11401 nucleotides long. RefSeq lists it as uncharacterized. The record is from RefSeq and is a predicted model, not a curated record. Lineage: Eukaryota; Metazoa; Chordata; Lepidosauria; Squamata; Lacertidae.